CGAGGGCUUCAUCCAGCACUGCCAGGGGCGGCGCGGUCUCGCGCCCCCGGACCCGCCCCCCCGCCGCGGGCGCGCGGGGGGGCCCCGCCCGAGCCGGGAGGAGCCGCGGCCGCCGGGGCAGCAGCGUCACCGCUCCGAUACUGAAAGUAGCGUUGAGAAACCGGCAAAAUGAGUAGUCGUCGGAAACGUGCACCUCCAUCCAAAGUGGAUGAGGAGAAGAAGAAAAAGCUCUGCUGGAAUAUGCAUGAAGACCGGAGAAAUGAGAUGGUGGCAUUAGAUGAUGAAGUAACUAAUGAGGACCAUAUUCCAGUUCCAAGCACUUCUGCAUCCUUCGUUGUUAUAAACGAUGAUAGCACUGAUGAAGAUCUUGUACAGAAAGAAGGCAGUGGCUCAAAAUCUGUUAAGUUUUUGACAGUUAACGAUGAAGAAGACUCUUACUCCAUCUUGACUCCUGUGUCUGUACAGCUAAAUAUUAUAGUCCUGCCAUACCGUGCAGAUAGGUCCUGGAAGGCUUUGUUGGGAGAAUUUGCUCUUCGUCUGCUUUCUGAGCAAAUUCAAACUGACGAAUUCCGUGACAGGAGCUUUACUUUAAUGAAAGGAGACUCUGAUGAUGAGCUGCAGGUCUGUGUUCAUGAAAGAAGUGAAGAAGAGUACAGUAAUGAAACAAAAGAAUACCUGGGCGCUUAUGAACAACGUAUUCUGGUGGAAGCAACUUUAAGUGGUGAAAUAUUGGAAGGCUUGAGAUGGUUGCAAAAGAAAAAGAUAAUUGGACUUUAUCAAAGACCUGGAGAGACUCAGGCUUUAAAGGUUGGAAUUUACCUCCUUGAAGCUGGGCUGAGUAAACCGGAAUUUCUCAGUGAUGGAGGUGGAAGACCCAAAAAAGCUAAUCAGAUGAUUCAAAAGCUCAUGGAAAAGUUCUACAGUUUUUUAAUUCCAGAUGAGCUGGAGGAAGAUGAGGAAGAAUCUGACAUGGAACUAGAGCGACAAAAUAUUGAAGAGCUUUAUGACUUCGUAAGGCACACCCACCAGCAGGAUAUCCAGUUACUGAGAAAAGAUGUGCAGCAUCCUGCAUUAAUUCCCAUUCUGAGGCCAUACCAAAGUGAGGCUGUGAACUGGAUGCUUCACCGAGAGAACCACGCAAGUACUCCAAAUAGUGAAAACGCGCUGCAUUUCUUAUGGCGGGAGGUGAUCACUCUGGAUGGAGUAAAAAUCUACUAUAAUCCAUUUACCGGCUGUAUUAUCCGUGAGUAUCCAACUGCUGGACCCCAGUGGCCUGGAGGUAUUUUGGCAGAUGAGAUGGGUCUUGGAAAAACAGUAGAGGUGUUGGCUCUUAUUCUGAAUCAUACCGGACCAGACAUUAAACAAGAUGAUCUGACAUUACCUGAGGGUAAGCUUGUGAACUUCUUUGUUCCACCUCAACCUUUAGAGGGAAAUAAAAAGAAAAAAACAAAGGAAAUGGAGCCUAAAUUAAAGGAAAAAAUACAAUAUCCCAGCUUACGAGUAAUGAUAUUAACAGCUGUAAAGGAAAUGAAUGUGAAGAAAGGAGCAUCCAUUAUUGCAAUAUUUAAGUACAUCAGUUCCAUAUAUAGGUACGACACACAGAGAAAUAGACGGCUUCUCAAAAGAACUCUAGAAAAGCUAAUUGCAGAGCAGGUGAUAGAACAAGUUAAAGGACAUGGUCUGGCUGGGUCUUUCAAGCUGGGAAAGAAUUACAAGGAACAGAAGAAGCGAGAAAGAACCAAAGAGCAGGUAGCAAGGACUUCAGAAAACACUCAGAAGAAGCAAUUGAUUGAUGCUAAAACUCAGACCAAAGAAUCAAGAAGCACUGACGUAACAUCUGAAAAUGUCUUUAAAACUGCUUCACAUGAGAAUAUCACCAUGGAAGAACAUGAUUAUUGUGCAACCAGUAAAAAUAACAGGAAAUCUGAAGCAGAUCAUGAGAACUCUGUAGAAGACAAAAAUGUUAAGCAAGAAACUGUGGUCUCAAAGUCUCCUGAUUUUGAUGGCAGCCUCCUUGUCUCCAGUGACGUGAACAGUCAUUCUGAUGUUGAUGUUUCUAAAACUGCAGCUGUUGUCCAGCAGGAAGUCCCAAAGGCCCAGUCCUCACUUUCCCUAGAACAUGCUGGCAGUAGCAUACAACAUACUAGUUCUGUAUUUCCAUUUAAUACCUCUGAAUAUCGUUUUGAAUGCAUCUGUGGUGAGCUCGGAUUGGCUGACUACAAGGCUCGUGUGCAGUGCCUGAAGUGUUACCUGUGGCAACAUGCAGAAUGUGUAAACUACAAAGAGGAGAACCUGAAGAGCAGACCCUUCUACUGUCCCCAUUGCCUUGUGGCAAUGAAACCAGUUCCCACAGGAGCAACUCUUAUCAUUUCUCCGAGUUCUAUUUGUCACCAGUGGGUAGAUGAGAUCAACAGGCAUGUACGAUCAUCAUCUCUUCGAGUUCUGGUGUAUCAAGGUGUGAAGAAGCACGGCUUUCUGCAGCCUCACAUGCUGGCAGAGCAGGAGGUGGUUAUCACCACGUAUGACGUCCUGCGCACCGAACUGAACUACGUAGACAUUCCCCACAGUAACAGCGAGGAUGGGCGCCGCUUCAGGAACCAGAAGCGCUACAUGGCCAUCCCCAGCCCCUUGGUGGCGGUGGAGUGGUGGAGGAUCUGCCUCGAUGAGGCACAAAUGGUUGAAUGCACUACUGCAAAGGCUGCUGAAAUGGCACUCCGUUUGAGUGGAAUCAAUCGCUGGUGUGUUAGUGGCACUCCUGUGCAGCGAGGAUUAGAAGAUUUAUAUGGAUUAGUCCUUUUUCUUGGAGUUGAUCCUUACUGGGUCAAACAUUGGUGGGACCAACUACUGUAUCGACCUUACUGUAGGAAAAAUCCCCGGCCUCUCUACAGUCUAAUUGCGAAGAUAAUGUGGAGAUCAGCAAAAAAGGAUGUGAUUGACCAAAUUCAAAUCCCCCCUCAGACAGAAAAUAUACACUGGCUUCACUUCUCUCCUGUGGAGAGACACUUCUAUCAUCGCCAGCACGAGGUGUGCUGCCAGGAUGCAUUGGCAAAACUCAGGAAGAUUUCAGACUGGACUCUUAAGCUUAGCAGCCUAGAUAGAAGGACUGUGACUUCUAUUCUAUACCCUCUGCUACGGCUGAGGCAGGCCUGCUGUCACCCACAAGCUGUUCGGGGAGAGUUCUUACCACUACAGAAAAGCACCAUGACCAUGGAGGAACUCUUAGCAUCUCUGCAAAAGAAAUGUCGAACGGAGUGUGAAGAAGCUCACCGACAGCUGGUGUGUGCUCUUAAUGGCUUAGCUGGUAUCCAUAUCAUUAAAGGAGAAUAUGCAUUGGCUGCGGAGCUGUACAGAGAAGUACUAAGAUCAUCUGAAGAGCACAAAGAAAAGCUUAAAACAGAUUCCUUGCAAAGACUUCAUUCUACACAUAAUUUAAUGGAACUGUUGGCAAAGCACCCAGGAAUUCCCCCAACUUUGCGUGAUAGCCGACUUGCAGAAGAGGCAGAACAACUUCGACAGCAUUAUAUGAGUAAAUCCAACGCAGAAGUUGCAGAAGCCCAUCAGGCCUUACAGCCAGUUCUUCAGACCAUUCGGGAACUUCAAAGAAAGAUACAUUCAGGUUCUCCCUGGUGGUUGGAUGUCAUCCAGACAGCAAUACAGUAUGCCAUCGAUGAGGAGCUUGUUCAACGUGUGCAAAACGAAAUAACUUGCAACUACAAACAGCAGACCAGUAAACUCUCCAUGGCAGAGAAGUUCCGUGACUGCAGAGGCCUUCAAUACCUACUCACAACCCAGCUGGAUGAAGUGAAGAAGUUCCAGAAGAUUGUAAGAGAAGCAGUGAAAAACUUAGAAGGGCCUCCUUCUAAGCAGGUUAUAGAGGCUGCCACUAUCUGCCAUUUGCGACCUGUUAGACUGCCACUUAACAACUGUGUCUUUUGUAAGGCUGACGAAUUGUUCACAGAAUACGAGUCAAAGCUCUUUAUGCAUAGUGUUAAAGGCCAAAUGGCAAUAUUUGAGGAGAUGAUAGAAGACCAAGAAGGGCUUGUCGAUGACCGCUUGCCCACCACAAGCAGAGGGCUCUGGGCAACCAGUGAAACUGAGCGUGCCUUGAAAGCUCUUCUCUCCUUUGCCAAAGCUCACCGAAUGGAUGCUAGGCUAACUGAAGAAGGGAGUGUAUUCCUGGAACUCUUUGAAGCAUGGAAAAAGGAAUAUAAGUUACUUCAUGAGUAUUGGAUGGUCCUUAGGGAUCACGUGUCUGCUAUUGAUGAGCUGGCAAUGGCGACAGAACGACUGCGAGUGCGUCACCCUGAUGAGCCAAAACCAAAUCCACCAGUGCUCCACAUUAUAGAACCACAUGAGGUAGAGCAAAACCGAGUGAAACUUCUGAAUGACAAGGCAGUUGCCAAAUCACAGCUUCAAAAGAAAUUAGGACAACUUCUGUACCUCACUAAUCUGGAGAAAUCUCAGGAUAAAACUACCGGAGGAGUUAACCCAGAACCGUGUCCAAUCUGUGCACGUCAGCUGGGAAGACAGUGGGCGGUGCUGACGUGUGGACACUGUUUUUGUAAUGAGUGCAUAGCAAUCAUCAUCCAGCAGUACAGCGUUGGCACCCGCCGGAGCUCAAUUAAAUGUGCCAUUUGCAGGCAGACAACAUCCCAUAAAGAAAUAUCUUAUGUCUUCACUGCAGAAGCUGCAAAUCAGGAGGAUGAUAUUCCUGUGAAGGGAAGUCACUCCACCAAAGUGGAAGCUGUGGUCCGAACACUGAAGAGAAUUCAAUUUAAAGAUCCAGGGGCUAAGUCCUUAGUUUUCUCAACGUGGCAAGAUGUGUUGGAUAUAAUUUCAAAAGCUUUGUAUGACAACAACAUGGUUUUUUCUCAGAUCAAUGGAAUUAGUAAAUUUCAGGAAAACCUGUCUGCAUUUAAAUACGAUCCCAACAUCAAUAUUUUGCUGCUGCCUCUUCACACUGGUUCCAAUGGAUUGAACAUCAUUGAAGCAACUCACGUUCUGCUCGUGGAGCCCAUUCUGAAUCCAGCACAUGAGCUACAGGCUAUUGGCAGGGUACAUCGUAUCGGCCAAACAAAAUCUACAAUUGUUCAUAGGUUCCUGAUAAAAGCAACAAUAGAAGAGAGAAUGCAGACUAUGCUGAAAACUGUAGAUAGAAGCAUUGCCCAGAUGCUAAGUGAUACAUCAGGCUGGUGUGCAGACGCAGAAAGCAGUUCUCACUGUGGUUUAUCCUUCCAAAAUCCAUAAGCAGUGAUGAAUUGGAGCAGGACCAAAAAUGCAUUUACAUUCCUUAUGCAGACAGUGUAAGAGCCACACGAGCUCUUCCAUGAAACAGUCAGAAGCCUCAGUGUUGACAGUGGCAGAUUUGGCUGACCUUUUUACAGAGGAAACUGAAGAACUUGAGUAAAAACAUUGGUUUGACCUAAUGAAAUUGGAAAGUACCUGACCCAGUAAGCACCAGGAUAAAAUCCACUUGAUCUGUCGUUCUUGUAGACAUCAUCUAACAUUUGUCCAUAAGAGAGCAAUCGGAAAUUGAGAAGUCUUAAUUUUUACUGAUUUAUUCUUUGGUGACAUUCAUAGCAGCACACACUUCUGAUGGCACUGGAUAAAAGUUGCAUUUUGCACAUUGUACAAAAACAUGGAUUUUUUUUUUCCCAAAGAGCAUUUGAGCUGGAUGCUAAAACUGAGAUCUUGGACCCUUGGUUGAGAGGCUUUUUACCAUCAGGCUUGAUCGGCCAGUAGCUCAGUCUGAGAGCAAAACUAUGUGGGUGGUUGGGUGGGAAAGGGAAGCAGAAAAAUACAAAUCUAAUUUUUUUUAUUGUACAAAGAGUUGUUAGAAAGAAUGACUGUAAAUUAAUAUUCUUCUAGAAAGGGCUUGUUAGAUUUAAUGCAGAGUUAUUAAAUGUCUUAUUGUUAACACUUCAAAUUACAAAUGUUUACUAAUAGUUUGGAUAUUUGUAUUAGGCUUUUAGAUAUUCAUUAAGACUUUUAACAGUUAAAUAUUUCAUUGUUAAUGCUUACGGCAAAAAGAUGAUAAUUAAAUUAUGCUUUUUGUA
This is an RNA transcript of Poecile atricapillus (Black-capped chickadee), 6056 nucleotides long. It is a transcript of the gene named SNF2 histone linker PHD RING helicase, with no coding region annotated. NCBI's taxonomy places the organism in Eukaryota, Metazoa, Chordata, Aves, Passeriformes, Paridae. The record is from RefSeq and is a predicted model, not a curated record. The transcript is spliced from 31 exons.